This 6271-nucleotide long non-coding RNA is filed under the name Elaeis guineensis (African oil palm). Its description in RNAcentral is "long non-coding RNA (EGUI_LNC065689)". Lineage: Eukaryota; Viridiplantae; Streptophyta; Magnoliopsida; Arecales; Arecaceae. The record is from RNAcentral.
GCCCAUUACCAUUAUUGAAUGCCUUCUUCAUCCCCUUUUCUCUAAGCUAAACCUAGACCUCCCACUCCCACUCGAACAUGUAGGCGGAGAUGGAAACUCAUUCAAACUUAGUCUACUAAAGGAUGGAACCUUUCGGUUCAUUUCCUUAAGGUAGGACGCCCGAGAGCCUCUCUCCCUAUUGAAGUUCAGAUUCAGUCCGUCCUUAGACCGGAGUCCUUGGGCACCCUAUGUGCCCCCGAAUGGACAGGUAGCCAACCUGGCGGGAGUCAGCAGCGGAAGUACCCACUUGGUAUGGCUAAACACUUUUCUUUCUUCAAUUUGUUAUAGCUUCAGCCUUUCCGUGCCCCCUUUGAUCCGACCUGAGACCUCAUUUAGAGAGAUUGGCUUCGUAGCCUACAGUAUUGUGAUCUCGAAAUGUAUUGGAUGUCUGGCCAGGUGAAUUUCGAUCUUUCAUACGUGGGUCGCCCCCUUCUCCUCAUUCAGAGCUAGGCGAGAGCACAGAUUGGUGUCAGUUAGGAGUUCAAUUGAUGACAGACAUUCUGGUAACGAUCCAAGUUGGUAUGUUAAUGCAUGUGAUUUACAUUGUAUACAAGUUCUCACACGUAACUAUACCUUCCCCAUCAGCUUAGCCGGUCCUGACUGAGUCUGCUGGCAGCUGAAAAGCUGGCUUCAUCGAGAGAGAUUUGAUACAAAAUAAUUCCGGCUUCAUCCUCUGCCGGUAAAUCACCUUGCAGUUGGAGGAGUAAAAUCUGAACCCGAAGUGGGAGCCAAUGUAACUGAAUCCAAAUGCCAAUUAUAGCAAACUCAGUCAAAAAAAGUUUGACUUAAUGUAGCCAUUCAUCAAUCAAAGUCUGCAGAAUUUUGAUUAUCUAGGCUUCUUACCUUUCUCCUUAUCUUAUCUAGAACUAUAGUAGGCAAGGCAAAGCCUUUUUCUUCCACUCCCUGUCCACUCUUGCAGCAGGAUAGGUUUUUUUCCAUAAAAAAAGGGAAACUCUUUCAGUUGAUGUCCUACUUUUGAUGUCCUACUUCUGAUAGAACAAGAGGAAAGCAAAAGAGAGAAGGAAUUGAAUCAAGAGUCUCAGGGGCAUGCCUAGAAGAAACUACUGAUGGUGAAAGACUAGUUAAAGUAGGGGGCAUAUAAUGUUUUGUUGAAUAUCUAAUAGUACAGUACACUAAGAUAAAAUAGAAUUGAGAACUACUACUCUAGAUAUUUCUUCUCCUCAGGUCACUCUAACAAUUCCUUUUUCUGCAGGAAAGCAGGUCCGUUUUGUUUUCACUUUUCCUUUUAGAGUUUCUUCUGUAUUGAGUAAGUACUCUACUUGUUAGAAAGCUAGUGAGGGAAGCGAGCUCCAUACUUGUAGCGAGUAAGAUAAGGCCUACUCCUCAGAGAAGAUCCGAAUCUCUAUCUUUGAUUGACUCUGAUUCCCAAACGGAGUGUUUACGCCAGCAAUCCGGUUAGUUCCUUUCUUUCAGUUGUCUCCCUUUUAGCUGUAGUGCUUGAAGCUGUGAGCCAGUCUGAUAGCCUUUUCCCUUGCUUUAGUGAGUUUGCCUCCUGACCCUAAAGCUGUUAGUGAACUUUCUCACCUUUUCACGAUCUCUUGUUAUGAAAAAUGGUCUAAGCCUUCCCCCUUUUUUUUAGAAGCCCCCCCAAGGAUUCCAUUCUGGUUUGAGUGUGUUAGAAAGUCUUCCAUCAGUCGUAUCUGGGGCAAUUGACUUUGCCAUGAGACUGUUUACCUCAUCACUCGAAUAAACUAAUGAAUUUUCUUUAAGUCUUGGGUGAGCUACCAUGGGUGUGUCACCUUUCAAUUCGAUAUCUUCUUGUAAGGAUUGAAAGCCUUCCCAUCUUUGAAGUAAGGAAAAAUGCUUUGGAUUCUGUCUAGUCUCUUAGUCGGUCCAUUCCAGAAGCAUUGGAAAAGCAGCGUAGGCUGGGCGGACAUACUGGACGAGAGAGAUAGUCAUUCCAAACUCCUUCUACGGGGCUAUUCAAUUCUAUCGAAAAACUCCUCUAUCAAGGACUGAUUUUUUUUCUCUUCCUCGGGGUCUUAGUGACAAAGUUCCAGUCCUUUCUUUUUCUUUGAAAGUUGAUUUGCUUCUUUCGUCGGUUUAACAGCUUUCCAAGCAGAAAUUCCUUCUUUUAAUUUGUUACUUGAAUGAGUGAAUCUUCUUUUCGGGUGUGGAAGGAUUGGCUUUUGUGGUCCAUUUGCUUUGUAUCGAGUGAAUAGGGUUAGAGGUCUAUCACCAGCUUCAAAGGCUAAUGUGGAAGUCGACUUUUUACCUCCUUCCAUAGAAAAGACUCACAUUUUCUUUGUUCUUUGUGUGAGUUCAGUGCCUUGCCUUCCAAGUCAUCUUAUCAGUCAUCAAAUCACUAAGCGCAUACUUCCUUGCCAGCCUUCCAACCGCUAAAGCCCUCCUCACCUCAAGAAAUUCUAUUGAAGGCCUUGCCUUUCAGUCAGCCAUUCCAUCUAGCUAUUCCAUGUAGUCCAGCCAUUCGAGCAGCCUAAUAACUAAUAAGGAAUCCCUUUAGUAAGGGCCUAUUGCCUUUCAUCCUAGCUAGAAGUCCAGUAGUUUAUUACCUAUGUCGGUCUCAGUUCUUUCUUGUAUGGAGGUACUGGGGAUUGUUCUGUUUUCGCAUUGUCUAAGUCCUCUUGCUUGACCUAUUUCUUUUGUCUUUAUACUUUCUAACUCCUGACCCCAAGCCAGGAUUUUUUUUUGAUUGNNNNNNNNNNNNNNNNNNNNNNNNNNNNNNNNNNNNNNNNNNNNNNNNNNNNNNNNNNNNNNNNNNNNNNNNNNNNNNNNNNNNNNNNNNNNNNNNNNNNNNNNNNNNNNNNNNNNNNNNNNNNNNNNNNNNNNNNNNNNNNNNNNNNNNNCAGUGACUGACCUUACACAACCCAUAAUCGGAAAGACAUUGACUCGAUCGACAGGCCCUCGCUACAAGACUGAAAUCGAAUGAUAGAAGAAUCGAUAGCUACUCCUGCGCUUACUACUUUUCAAAGAGAAAGUAGGGAAACUUAGCCGGCUAAGCGAUAUGGAAAGAAUCCUAGACCUGCAAGCACAGGAACUCCCUCACACCCUUAGUCUUCUUCCUCGACUGAUCCUUAAGGUUCAAAGACUGGGGGACUCCUUUCCUUCUCUUCAAUGCUUUUCAAAAAGUGUUAAAAAGGGGGAAGCUUCUUCUCUGAAGUUGAAGCAAGUACUGAUUUGACUUUAUUUGUAGAUCAAGGGGAUGUGAAAAGUAGGACCAUUGCAUUAUCGUCUUUGUUGCUUGAGAAUACAAAACUUCCUUCUCUUCUUGGCUUGUAUUCUGAGUAGGCUAUGGAGUAUAGUAGUCGAGCACGUAGGCCGUCAGUCCAUCUAUUCCUCCCAUCCGCUACCAUGCUUUUUCCUUUAUCAAGUCGAGGAAGAAGAGUGAGGUGUGAGCGCAAGGGGAUGGGUUGACUUUCCUGGUGGACAAACAUUGCCCUAUGGCUUAGUCGUAGGUUUAGCCUUAGAUUCAUUCCCCUAGGGCUUUUCUUAAGUCCCGUAGUCAUCCUAUCUGUUCAUUCCGAAAAAUAAGUGUUGGAAUCUUUCGAAGCUUUCCCUUAUGUAAGCAUUGUAUUCCGUCUUAGUGUCUUAGCCAGCCCCGCCCCCACAAGGGUAGAAUUCCUCUCAAACCUUUCAUUCUCUUUCUUUGUAUUGUUUCCUAUCUAUCUUUUUAGUGUUAGUAUUGUAAGCCUUGGUUUUCAAUCCUCCCAUUGUUCGAAAAUGUCUUAUGUAGUAUAUUCUUUUUCUAGCAUGUGAGAGAGAAGGAAGAAGAAGACUAAGUGCCAGCAAGAGAGGUUAUGUGUAUGCAGUUGUAGGACCAUUCCCUCUCCUUUCUUGUAAGUCAGAGAAGAGGAAAUCAUGGCCCUUGCCUUAGGCUUGAAGUUCACGUGGCCGGUAUGCUGCUCACUUUACAUCAUUCUUUCGAUCCGCUACCUGUGCUUAAAGCAAAGCUUUCCAUUCCAACUUGAUCUUAUUCAGUUAGAGAUUCAAUCAUCCUUGAAGUGCUCCAGUGGUCGAUGUAGAAAAAUUGGCUAAGGUUCAAUUUGCUUCAGUUGAAGUGAUCGCUCUAUUUUGGCAGUCUUCGAAGGCAGCAGAAAUGCCUUUUGCUUUUCCUUUAGAAUGUCCUACCUCCUUAAGUUGCAACAAGUCCUGAUUUGACUUUCUUAGUGGAAGGUGUGAAGUGCCCCAUUGGUCAUGAAGGGUUUGAAACCUUUUGCUUGGUUCAAAGUGGUCUAGUCCCCUAAGGAGGAAGAGUUGGAAGAUUUUAGUAAGCCUUGAAUCGAUACAUCUCUUUGCCGGAUCUUAGUUUUGAUUAUGGUAUUCCUUCUUUUAAAAGGCGGGAAAGCCCCUUGAGGGUGGAAUUGCCUUGUUGGGUGAGUUCUCUCCUUCUUACUUAAUUCUUAAGGUAAAGAUCGGGAAGUCUUUGACUAAGUUCCUCUGUAUAUGACACAUUCAUCUAGUCGGAUUAAUACUCGUGUAACUGGCUCCUACCCCGCAGUGAAUCACUCCUCCUUUCGGUUUUAGCGAGGGUUCAAUCUGUCGGCUAAAGGUCCAUUGCUUUCCUAAAGUGAAUUUCAAUCGUGUAAGAAAGGCAAAUCGAGAUAAUCGAAGUCCAAUGCUACAGAUUUCCCUCAAGCAAAGAAUAAAUAUUUGAUUCGAAAAAGCUAAUUCCUUGAUCCGGGAAAGCGGUUAGACUAAGUCUCUUAGUAGAGGAAAAAGAUUCAAUCGCUCUCAUUCACUCACCCUUAAGAAAGGGGCUUCCCAAAAAGCGUGGCUAUUUCAAAGGCCGGCAGACUAAGAGAGAGGUGGAAAAAGUAUGGUACGGUAUCCAUCAAGGGGUGGGGCCAGGAACUCAAGAAAGCGCUAUGGCUACGGGAGAGGUGUAAUAAACUGCUUUGAAGGUGCUUAGACCAAUCACACUAUAGGAGAAUGGGACUAGCCUUGAAAGAACAGAAAGUCGAUUUACGAUCUACAAAAGAUAAGAUAGAAGAAAAAGCAUUGAACUUAUUAGCUCACUCAAUGAAGAUGGAAAAUAAAGGAAUUGCUUCAAAAAUGAAAAAGCAUUUCCACGAAAGCGUGGAAGGAUGGAAUACUGCUAGACAGCCCUAAAAGCUUGGAAGGCUAAGGUACAAAAUGCAUAGGACUCCUUAAACCACUACACGGAAUAUGGGAAAGACAGAGAGAGAAGGAAAGAAAGUAGUCUCCCCUCUUGGGGCUUCCCCUAUUACACGAAGAGCACCUGACGAAGGAAUGGAAUACAUCUAAGACUUCGACGGCUUUGGUCCUACAAAACUGUAAGCACACUCACUGCAAAGACUAUUAUACGAUAUUCAUCCGUAAGACCAGUACAAUCCAAAGCUUAUUCUCCGACACGCAGUUUAAAAGUCUCAAGGAAAAAGGAGUGAACCUUAGCAGCAGGCAAAGACCAUAGGCGAAUGGUGCUAGAUCGGGAACAAGAUCUCCUCGAUAUACGACAGCAAAGGCAUUAGGCCAGGACUCAAAGAAAGGAAAAUUCCCCCCAUCAGAUCAGGGGGCUUCCCUAAGGGUAAGGGGCUAUUAGACUGGAAGGAAAGCAAGACAAGACCAUAGAGAUGGCAUGGCGAAUCUCGUAGCAAGAUAGGUCGAGAGCAAGUCAUGCUUUGAUUCUACCACCUAAUGGUAUCAACUUUGAUCAUAUCCCUCACGAAACACUUUCUAUAGGAAACUGGAUGAGAGGUGAACCAGGGUUUUUUUUCCACUAGAAGUAAUGGAAUGAUAGAUUGGCUUACACCACUAGGAGCUAUUCCACCAAGAUCAAAUGAGGACUGACUAGGGGACUUCGCCACUUAAAAGGCUAAUUAAGAAAUAUUUAAAGAGAGUUGGAAUGCAUCGACAGCUUUUCCUGCACUUACUCCAAUAGACAAAGAAAGGAGGGCAACUUAGCCGGCUAAACAAUACCCAAAUGGUGAUAGACCUGCAACCCCCGCUGCUUAACCAAUGCUUAGGGAAUCGAAGACUUCAAAGACUAGAAAGCUAGCAUAGAAUAAGUACUUUACGAAAUACGGAUGUAGUACUAAACAGCUAAUGGAAAGCUAAGAGACUAGAUGGAAAGCGUACGGGAUCUACGGGCUAAGAGAUUUUUCCACUUCAAGCCAAAGGAAAUGAAACCUUUGCCGAUAGACCAAUCAAUGGUGAAACAAGACCUGCAAGCACAUAAACUCGAUCUUUAGCCCUUGCUUCGAGAGGGAGUUUAGCAAUACAAGGAUUAGGA